Molecule: ribosomal RNA, 478 nt
Filed under: uncultured bacterium
Lineage: Bacteria
Description: partial 16S ribosomal RNA
Rfam family: Bacterial small subunit ribosomal RNA
Source: RNAcentral
GAUGAACGCUGGCGGCGUGCUUAGCACAUGCAAGUCGAACGGGAAUUAUUUUAUUGAAACUUCGGUCGAUUUAAUUUAAUUCUAGUGGCGGACGGGUGAGUAACGCGUGGGUAACCUGCCUUAUACAGGGGGAUAACAGUCAGAAAUGGCUGCUAAUACCGCAUAAGCGCACAGAGCUGCAUGGCUCAGUGUGAAAAACUCCGGUGGUAUAAGAUGGACCCGCGUUGGAUUAGCUGGUUGGUGGGGUAACGGCCCACCAAGGCGACGAUCCAUAGCCGGCCUGAGAGGGUGAACGGCCACAUUGGGACUGAGACACGGCCCAGACUCCUACGGGAGGCAGCAGUGGGGAAUAUUGCACAAUGGGGGAAACCCUGAUGCAGCGACGCCGCGUGAAGGAAGAAGUAUCUCGGUAUGUAAACUUCUAUCAGCAGGGAAGAUAGUGACGGUACCUGACUAAGAAGCCCCGGCUAACUACGUG